AUUCGGUGUGAAUUAAAAAUAAUUAAAUAAAACACUAUAAGCAUUUAAAAUGCUUUGUGAUAAACGAUGUUUUUUGUUUGAUUACCUGGCGCAUAGACAAACAAAUCUGAUGGUUUUCCAAUACGGGAACAGGCAACAUACAAUUGACCAUGUGAGAAACAUGGGUUUUCCAAAUUAAUACCACAAACACUUAAUGAUUGCCCCUGGGACUUGUUUAUGGUCAUAGCAAAAGCAAGCCGCACUGGAAACUGUAGUCGUUUAAACUCAAAUGGCACAUCAGUCGGAAUCAUUGGGAUGCGCGGUAUGAGAACAUCUUCUCCUUUAUACUUUCCUUUCAAUAUAGUUGCUUCUAUCACGUU
Molecule: long non-coding RNA, 359 nt
Organism: Aethina tumida (small hive beetle)
Lineage: Eukaryota; Metazoa; Arthropoda; Insecta; Coleoptera; Nitidulidae
Exons: 2
Source: RefSeq, a predicted model, not a curated record